Molecule: unclassified non-coding RNA, 306 nt
Filed under: plant metagenome
Description: partial contains 5.8S ribosomal RNA, internal transcribed spacer 2, and large subunit ribosomal RNA
Rfam family: 5.8S ribosomal RNA (bases 1-105)
Source: RNAcentral
GAAAUGCGAUAAGUAAUGUGAAUUGCAGAAUUCAGUGAAUCAUCGAAUCUUUGAACGCACAUUGCGCCCGCCAGUAUUCUGGUGGGCAUGCCUAUCCGAGCGUCAUUUCAACCAUCAAGCCCCCGGGCUUGUGUUGGGGACCUGCGGCUGCCCGCAGGCCCUGAAAACCAGUGGCGGGCUCGCUGUCACACCGAGCGUAGUAGCAAUCACCUCGCUCAGGGCGUGCUGCGGGUUCCGGCCGUUAAACAGCCUUACAAAACCCAAGGUUGACCUCGGAUCAGGUAGGAAGACCCGCUGAACUUAAGC